This 2071-nucleotide long non-coding RNA is filed under the name Zostera marina. RNAcentral describes it as "long non-coding RNA (ZMAR_LNC000509)". The record is from RNAcentral. Lineage: Eukaryota; Viridiplantae; Streptophyta; Magnoliopsida; Alismatales; Zosteraceae.
AUAUAGACAAAGGAUGGAAAGAGAGAAGGGGGAGAAAAACGUGAGUGGAAGGAGAAGGGCAGCUAUUCCGGCAAGGCGACGAAACUCCGACGAGAGACCAUUUGGGAAACGAGCGAGGAGGUGCCGAGGUGGUUGGAAAGCUUGAUGUUGACUGUGUAGAAAGAUCUCAAAAACAAAACGAGGUAUGGGAUUUCUUAGCGAAUGAUAGUUGUAGAUUGUGUAUAUCCAUGUGAUCAACGUCGUGUCUCUUGAGUGAUUCCUUCAUAAAGUUGUGUUGGAUUUUUAUGAGGAUGUGUUCUUGCCCCUCUUAACGUUGAGAAUGAGGGUGCGAUCGUAUACACAUACUCAACCAAGAGUAUGCCAAUUUGAAUAGUCAUAUGUAUUGUUUUUUUCAUUUAUUUUGGGGAUUGUGAUUUCAUUGGAUGCCUUAAUGAUGCAGGGUAGUAUUAUUUUGGAUAAGUACCCUGAAUGGUGAUUUUCUGAGCGGAGUUGGGGAAGGUAUCAGUCCCGUAUGUUGUCUUAUUAUUAUGAUUAUGUUCUGAGUAUUUUUGGGGACUGGUCUGAUUAAAAUCUAGCUAUGUUGCGUUGGAAACAUAUUGCAUCUAGUGAAGAGUAGUCAAACAGUAGAGGUGCUGAAGUUUUGAAAUAAAAUUGGGUGGUGUUGGGAGUAUCAGAUUGGGUUGGAAUUAAAUAAUAGAUUUUAUUUUGUUAAUUCAGAUACAGAAAUUUUAUACACCAGAUUUUAUUACUGAUUGAAAACACUAGGUGCUGAACAUUGGAAGUGAUAUAGGGUGGAGGGAUACCCUGCUUUCACGUUUGGUUUUUGUUCCUUUCUUUCUAUUGAUUAAAUUAUCUGAUGACAUGUUUCCCCUCCAGUUCUAUGAACGAUUUUUCUUCUCAAGGAUUGGGUUGGGUAUUGACCACAGUAUGCAAGUAUAAAUAGUGUGUAUGUUCAGAUGGAUGGAGGUCUAAUUUAUGUUUAUACUUCCUGAUUUUCCAGAUUUGGGUAUCCUCCAUAUUUUCCAGAUUUUUAUAUUUCCCAGAUUUUGGUAUUUCCAGAUUUUUCAGAUUUUGAUAUUUUCAGAUUUGGAUGGCUAAUUCUAAACAAAUCCAGAUCCUUACAUCUGCAGAUUUGUUGAUUUCCUUUUCGUGUUGUUGACGUGAUCAUUGAUUUUAUGCGAUUCCAGAUUUUUCGUUUAAAAUAUUGGUUUAAAUUGCAGGAUGCAGAUUUCGCAGAAUUUAAUAGAUUUUGCCGAAUUUCAGAAUUUGAUUUGAGCUACAGAAUUGUAGUUUUGAAUUUGGGUAUAAUUUAGUUUUCAGAUUAGCUUUCAGAAUCCAGAUUCUCCCUUCAUUGUUUUACCCGAUAUUAGAAUUUGCAGGGUGAUUCGUAUGACUUUUAUCGCUCUCUUAUCCCAUCGUCACUUAGACAUAAGUUAUUUAGCUUGAUUUGCCAAUUAUCUCCAUUCCGCACUAUGAUUUCCAGCAUUUGUACUUUUUCAGAUUUUUAACCGAUAAUUAAAAUCUCAGAUUGGUCUACAAUCAUUAUCAUGAUGUUAAUUGAAUUGUGAAUUUAUAAGUGAAAUCUUGUGAUGGGUAAGUGAAGUGUUAUUGAGUGAGUGAAGUGAGUGUGGGAUGAUCCUAAUUACCAGUGCAUAAUGAGUGUUAUAGGAUGACAAAACUAUAUGUGAAGUGAUAUCAUAUAGUGAAAAAGUAUUAUGAUUUUAUCUUGAUAUUGGUGAUUUUGAUUGUUUUACUAUGUGAUGUGACUGAUCUGUAGGGAAAACCAUACUGAGUCGCGAUAUAGUGACUCAUCCCUAUUUUGAUUUGUAAUGUGGUAAGAUGGAAGUAAACGGAACGGGACGCGAGCGAGGACGGGAUGGGGCACCUCGGAGUUUCCAAUCAUUAAAUUAGAUCUUAAGCAAUGUUGUUAGAAAAACCCUAUUUUAGUUACAUUUGAAAUUCUAGUUUUGUUGGUUAUUUUAUUAUGAGAUUAUUAGACUCGUAAAUUCCUGUUGUUGUCAAAUUUACUAUCAGAUUGUUAACAUAUUUUAGUAGAAUGUUACAACUUUGG